Molecule: ribosomal RNA, 1642 nt
Filed under: Staphylococcus aureus
Lineage: Bacteria; Bacillati; Bacillota; Bacilli; Caryophanales; Staphylococcaceae
Also listed under: 1 other name
Description: partial 23S ribosomal RNA
Rfam family: Bacterial large subunit ribosomal RNA
Source: RNAcentral
AGAAGUGAGAAUGCCGGUGUGAGUAGCGAAAGACGGGUGAGAAUCCCGUCCACCGAUUGACUAAGGUUUCCAGAGGAAGGCUCGUCCGCUCUGGGUUAGUCGGGUCCUAAGCUGAGGCCGACAGGCGUAGGCGAUGGAUAACAGGUUGAUAUUCCUGUACCACCUAUAAUCGUUUUAAUCGAUGGGGGGACGCAGUAGGAUAGGCGAAGCGUGCGAUUGGAUUGCACGUCUAAGCAGUAAGGCUGAGUAUUAGGCAAAUCCGGUACUCGUUAAGGCUGAGCUGUGAUGGGGAGAAGACAUUGUGUCUUCGAGUCGUUGAUUUCACACUGCCGAGAAAAGCCUCUAGAUAGAAAAUAGGUGCCCGUACCGCAAACCGACACAGGUAGUCAAGAUGAGAAUUCUAAGGUGAGCGAGCGAACUCUCGUUAAGGAACUCGGCAAAAUGACCCCGUAACUUCGGGAGAAGGGGUGCUCUUUAGGGUUAACGCCCAGAAGAGCCGCAGUGAAUAGGCCCAAGCGACUGUUUAUCAAAAACACAGGUCUCUGCUAAACCGUAAGGUGAUGUAUAGGGGCUGACGCCUGCCCGGUGCUGGAAGGUUAAGAGGAGUGGUUAGCUUCUGCGAAGCUACGAAUCGAAGCCCCAGUAAACGGCGGCCGUAACUAUAACGGUCCUAAGGUAGCGAAAUUCCUUGUCGGGUAAGUUCCGACCCGCACGAAAGGCGUAACGAUUUGGGCACUGUCUCAACGAGAGACUCGGUGAAAUCAUAGUACCUGUGAAGAUGCAGGUUACCCGCGACAGGACGGAAAGACCCCGUGGAGCUUUACUGUAGCCUGAUAUUGAAAUUCGGCACAGCUUGUACAGGAUAGGUAGGAGCCUUUGAAACGUGAGCGCUAGCUUACGUGGAGGCGCUGGUGGGAUACUACCCUAGCUGUGUUGGCUUUCUAACCCGCACCACUUAUCGUGGUGGGAGACAGUGUCAGGCGGGCAGUUUGACUGGGGCGGUCGCCUCCUAAAAGGUAACGGAGGCGCUCAAAGGUUCCCUCAGAAUGGUUGGAAAUCAUUCAUAGAGUGUAAAGGCAUAAGGGAGCUUGACUGCGAGACCUACAAGUCGAGCAGGGUCGAAAGACGGACUUAGUGAUCCGGUGGUUCCGCAUGGAAGGGCCAUCGCUCAACGGAUAAAAGCUACCCCGGGGAUAACAGGCUUAUCUCCCCCAAGAGUUCACAUCGACGGGGAGGUUUGGCACCUCGAUGUCGGCUCAUCGCAUCCUGGGGCUGUAGUCGGUCCCAAGGGUUGGGCUGUUCGCCCAUUAAAGCGGUACGCGAGCUGGGUUCAGAACGUCGUGAGACAGUUCGGUCCCUAUCCGUCGUGGGCGUAGGAAAUUUGAGAGGAGCUGUCCUUAGUACGAGAGGACCGGGAUGGACAUACCUCUGGUGUACCAGUUGUCGUGCCAACGGCAUAGCUGGGUAGCUAUGUGUGGACGGGAUAAGUGCUGAAAGCAUCUAAGCAUGAAGCCCCCCUCAAGAUGAGAUUUCCCAACUUCGGUUAUAAGAUCCCUCAAAGAUGAUGAGGUUAAUAGGUUCGAGGUGGAAGCAUGGUGACAUGUGGAGCUGACGAAUACUAAUCGAUCGAAGACUUAAUCAA